This 253-nucleotide ribosomal RNA is filed under the name uncultured bacterium. Its description in RNAcentral is "partial 16S ribosomal RNA". It matches the Rfam family "Bacterial small subunit ribosomal RNA", at positions 524 to 776 of the family's 1533-position model. The record is from RNAcentral.
UACAGAGGGUGCGAGCGUUGUCCGGAAUCACUGGGCGUAAAGGGCGCGUAGGCGGUCUGCUAAGCGUGUGGUGAAAGCUCGGGGCUCAACCCCGAGUCGGCCGUGCGAACUGGUGGACUCGAGCAUGUCAGAGGCAGGCGGAAUUCCGGGUGUAGCGGUGGAAUGCGUAGAGAUCCGGAAGAACACCGGUGGCGAAGGCGGCCUGCUGGGCAGUGGCUGACGCUGAGGCGCGACAGCGUGGGGAGCAAACAGG